This is a long non-coding RNA of Bos taurus (domestic cattle), 1730 nucleotides long. NCBI's taxonomy places the organism in Eukaryota, Metazoa, Chordata, Mammalia, Artiodactyla, Bovidae. The record is from Ensembl.
AAUCUAGGGUUAACAUCAAAUUAAAAGCUAACUGCUAGAGUCACAGGGAGGAGAGGACUUUAAAUUGCUCGGAAUGUUAGUGGUUAUAGCAGAACUCUUGGAAACCUCACAGGUGAACACUAGCAGGCAGCCAGAUCACUGCAGUGGGUGGAUGGGUAUCUGUUUCAAGUUGGCUUCUUGGAGGUUUCUUACAGACAUCACAGCUCAGUAAGCAGGGGGUGGGGUAGGUGCUCUCUCUUGUGGCCUGCUCCCCUCGGAAAGGCAGGGCUCGGGGGCAUCCAGUUGAGGCAGCAAGGCUGGCCUAACUCUAGGAGGACUAGGCUUGGAGUUGAAGCUCAGGUGAACCAACUCAUCGUCAUGGCAGGGGAGAGCACUUCCAGACAGAAAACCCACUGAGGGAAGAGAGGGGCUCAGGCCAAGAGACCUUAAGGAGACACUCUCCACUCACUGCCCAGCAAAAUGAAAGGAGAAUGUGCCAAGAGACCCGGAUGAGGAGGCGCUAAUGCAGAUGGCAUUACCACCAGUGCCUAGGGGAAGACGAGCCUUCCUAAGGUCAAUCUAGGGGGGGGGAGCAAGACUCAAGAUAGAAAAUGGCGGCAGUGAAGCACCGUUCUUACCUGUGUUGGCUCAGGAGGACUGGGCCUGGCGUGGGGUCGUACCCGUGGAGAGCAGGGCCUGGCCAGGAUGCAGGACUCCAGACAGAAGCCUAAGAAAGGAGUGCGCCAGCUGGGCAGAGGUUUUGGAGUAAACGGCAGCAAGAGUCAGGCCUCUGAGUCCCGGAAGCUCAAAAAAACAGAGAGCAUGCUGGAGGAUCCCGGGUCUGGGCAAUCUCUUCCCCAUGGGGCCGCUUUUUGGCAUGCUUUCUCCCUAAACCAGGGUCGGCACUCGUCUGCUGACUGAGCCAGUGACGCUCGGCGAUGUAGCGGCUUCGCUCCCAGGUUCACGGGGUGAAUUCUGGCCCUUCUGCGCCUCCGUACCUCUGAGCUCUGAGUGAGAACUCCUGCAGCUGCGAAGACCAGACCUCCUUCACCUGCGCAGAGUUUAAAGAGAGCAGGUGUGGGCCGUCAGUGAUAAUGAAAAUGGAGGCAGCGGUGAAGGAAGCUUUCAGGAGCUGAGCUCAGUGGUAGUCACAAUGCCAGGUUCUCAGAAACAGAGAGGUCCUCCCCUGCAAACGCCAUCUCAGGUAGAGCCGGGAUUAGCUGACGGAAGAAGGUAGGCGGGGCUCUCGAGAUAAACAAUUUGAAUGACCUCACAUCAGCGUGUCAACAUCCUUUGGGUAGCUCAAGGUCAAGAAAUCACUUCAAAGAAAUACCACACUGGUCAGAAAGAAAGAAUCCCCUCACUGGGUCAUCCUCAUGGAGUCUGGUCAGAACACUGAGCCAACGAAUGGGAGAGACCUGGGACUCCUCCUAGCAUCUGGAUUACCCCACACUGAAUUGGUGUGGGUUAAAGAGUUAGAGCGUGGUUUCUGAAAGGGUAGAAAUGGGAUGGAGCCCACGUUGUUCUUGAAAUGUUCAGCCCUGCUGCCUCCAUAGACCCCUGGCACCAGAAGGCGUUUUAGACAUCUUCCUGGAAGACUGCUUCGGCCUACCUGGCUCCUUGAGGCAAAGGCAAGCGUUGCCUGAAAUAAAGAGUGGUACUGCCCUUAAGUAUGGGAGAAGGCAAUGGCAACCCACUCCAGGACUCUUGCCUGGAAAAUCCCAUGGAAGGAGGAGCCUGGUAGGCUGCAG